This 468-nucleotide ribosomal RNA is filed under the name uncultured bacterium. Its description in RNAcentral is "partial 16S ribosomal RNA". It matches the Rfam family "Bacterial small subunit ribosomal RNA", at positions 28 to 507 of the family's 1533-position model. The record is from RNAcentral.
GACGAACGCUGGCGGCGUGCUUAACACAUGCAAGUCGAACGGAAAGGCCCUGCUUUUGUGGGGUGCUCGAGUGGCGAACGGGUGAGUAACACGUGAGUAACCUGCCCUUGACUUUGGGAUAACUUCAGGAAACUGGGGCUAAUACCGGAUAGGAGCUCCUGCUGCAUGGUGGGGGUUGGAAAGUUUCGGCGGUUGGGGCUGGACUCGCGGCUUAUCAGCUUGUUGGUGGGGUAGUGGCUUACCAAGGCUUUGACGGGUAGCCGGCCUGAGAGGGUGAACGGCCACAUUGGGACUGAGAGACGGCCCAGACUCCGACGGGAGGCAGCAGUGGGGAAUAUUGCACAAUGGGGGGAAGCCUGAUGCAGAAACGCCGCGUGCGGGAUGACGGCCUUCGGGUUGCAAACCGCUUUCGCCUGUGACGAAGCGUGAGUGACGGUAAUGGGUAAAGAAGCACCGGCUAACUACGUG